Molecule: long non-coding RNA, 643 nt
Filed under: Rattus norvegicus (Norway rat)
Lineage: Eukaryota; Metazoa; Chordata; Mammalia; Rodentia; Muridae
Description: long non-coding RNA NONRATT024143
Source: RNAcentral
GUGGCUGUGAGGUGUGUCACCUUAAAUAUCUUCCCUACCUCCCUGGGCCAUUCUAGUCAAACCUUGCUUCUAGGAAGGCCUGGUUCGUGGAUAAUAAGCAUGGAUGGACGUUCUCUGUGUAAACAUCAUAUCUGGCCAAUCUUUAGAGAACAUAUGCAAGAAUUUCCGUCCCAGAGACCCAGCCUUCUGGCUGUGGUUAUGUAUGCUCUAUCCAGGAUGGUGUUCAUCCUCAUGGAGCACUCUUUGAGGAAUUCACUCUUGAGUGCCAACGAGGUGGGGACCGAGCACAGUCCAGCAGUGGAGAUUCUUCUCCAGGACCCGUGAACCCAGACACUGAGGGAAAGCAGUUUGGCAUCCUAGUAGACAGGUAGGGUAGCGCGACCUCCCCAGGGAAGAUUUACCAAGAGCCAAAAAAUAGGGUUUGAUGGAAGUCCUCCUGGCUUGAUGGGACUUUGCUGUCAGGAGGCAGGGACAGGAGCAGAGUGGAGUAGAGCAGUGGGAUUCGAAGCCAUGCAGCUCACAUGUCAUCUCACCUGGGUUGGGUACAAUAGCCCCCAGGAGUUCCUUACGUCCUCAGACCUCCUGUCUUUCUGCCUCAGCCAUGCUGCGCUCCAGCAUGGCUCCUGCUGCUGCAGCACUGACU